GUGUUCACUUCAGCAGCACAUACACUAAAACUGAAUGAUACAAUGAAGAUUAGCAUGGCCCUUAUGCAAGGAGGAAGCAAUCUAUAUUUUU
RNAcentral lists this small nuclear RNA (91 nucleotides) under Carlito syrichta (Philippine tarsier). The record is from RNAcentral. Lineage: Eukaryota; Metazoa; Chordata; Mammalia; Primates; Tarsiidae.